UGUAGGCGGCUGGGCUAGUGCUGACCAAAUUUAUUCCUUCAUAUGCUGAGUUCAUUGAAACCGGUGGUGUACUUCACCUGCUACAGGGAUCACCAGGUUCAUAAGGAAACCUCCCCAGGAAUAUUCUCAACAGCUUACCAAAGUUUGACUAACUAGCUCAUCUCGGCGUGGUGCCACAGACAUGUCAGCCAAAAGUAGGAACAGGCAUGCCUAAAAAGAGGUAUU
Physella acuta is the source of this 225-nucleotide long non-coding RNA. RefSeq lists it as uncharacterized. NCBI's taxonomy places the organism in Eukaryota, Metazoa, Mollusca, Gastropoda, Physidae. The record is from RefSeq and is a predicted model, not a curated record.